UAAGGGGAUACACAGUUUAUAAUUGCUGCUAUAUAAUACGGAUAUUAGCUUAAUGCAAAGUUCCGGAAUAACCAUAUUUCAAAGGAUACUGUUGAGAGAGAUACAAAAAAAUUCACCAGAAUGAAGCUGUAGCUGAACCAGAGCUAUGCACACAAAUACUGAAGGAAGAGAUAAUUUUCUACCAAGAAUUGAAAGAGAAAUUGUUCUUAUAUAAUAAUGGGGGUAUAACCAUUAGUAAUUAUUUACCAGAAUGAAG
Molecule: long non-coding RNA, 256 nt
Organism: Mytilus trossulus (common blue mussel)
Lineage: Eukaryota; Metazoa; Mollusca; Bivalvia; Mytilida; Mytilidae
Exons: 3
Source: RefSeq, a predicted model, not a curated record